UCUUUUGAAAAAAUGAACAUCCCCCAUCGGCUUCCUCCUCCCAUGCCGUCCUCCCUUGCUCUCCCUGCCGCUUCCUCCUCCCCCUCCCUCCCCUGCUAUGAUGGCUCGCGGCCCGAGCCUCGCCGUGCCGCAACUGCCCGCGCACCGAUGCCUCUCGCUGGAUCUGGCAAGCUCGUCGGGGAAAGGGAGAAGGAGCCUGGGGAAACGGCGGCGGCGGCGGCGGCCGAAAGCAGGUGCGGUGGCAUGAGGUUGGAAAUCGAUGGGAUGCCACUAAUCUGGUCGCAGCGCAACACCCCAUUUGCGAGAUCAGAGCUUGAGGUUGACGGCGAGGUGGUUGAUCCCGGCUGAGGAAAUUGGGCGGUCCGGACAGAUGUGCAGAGCUUCAAAGGGUUUAGGUGAUAUGACCUGCUGGGAAAAAGAUGAAAUUUGUCACAAGCAAAUACCUAAGGUAAACUGUGAUGAUUUCUUUCUAUAGGAUGCAAAUUAGGGAGGUUCUGUUCAGGGAUACAAUUUUUUUUUUAACUACCGAUCCAGGCAAAACUAAUAUUGUUUGCCACCCUCUAUGGACAGGUAUUAAGUUGUGGUGCAGUCAGAUUUGUAGCUAAUCUGGGGAUGAGCGACAUUUUUCUGAAUCAGAUUCAUUCAUUGCAAUAUAAGCUUUAAAGGGCAAUAUAAGCAAUUUCGUGCUAGCUGAUGAUUAGAGGAUAGUAGCAAUGUAGUUUAAUUUCAGAAAGAAAAGGAGUGAUGCAUAGGGAGGAAAACCUUUUGUUCAAAACAAAAUUAUAUCAUUAGAUUUCUCAAGACCUUGCUGUUUUGUGUUUUGCUAUUCAUUGGCAUUUUAGCUUAAGGCCUAAUUUUUAUAACCCAACUAUGACCGACUUUGCAAUUUUGCAUUAGUUUUAUUGUUGCAACUAUAUUGGAUUUGGGUAAGUAAUCGCCAUUAUGUUACACUUUUGCUUGGAUUGGUUCUCAUGACCGGUGGCAAAGCAGGGUGAAGAUGCGGCAAUUAGGAGACCAACAGGGGCGAGACUGGUGGUGGGCAUCGUAUAUUAUUGGACAUGCACUUUAUAUACCACAUAUAUAUAGUUGUACACAGCAGGUUCUUUAUGAGUAUAGAUAAUGCAAUGAAUUGUCAGUCUAUAUAUGGCUAUAUCAAUUUGCUGAACUUUGCUGGAGAAGCUAUUUGCUGUGAUGUUUGAAACAUAGCUGAUCACCCAAAAAGUUGUCUUGCAAGCAUAAACUGGGCUGUUUAUGUAUGAAUAGUAUAUGCUUUGAAACUAUUUUGGUCAUUUUAUUUAUACUGCAAUAUAAUGUUAUUUGUAUUAGCGAUACAGUGUUAUGAAUUUAUGAUUGUUAUCAAUGAUAAUCUUUAAAAGAUAA
Molecule: non-coding RNA, 1380 nt
Organism: Oryza sativa Japonica Group (Japanese rice)
Lineage: Eukaryota; Viridiplantae; Streptophyta; Magnoliopsida; Poales; Poaceae
Source: RefSeq, a predicted model, not a curated record